AGUUUUCGGACUAAGAGACCGGCGCACGGGUGCGUAACGCGUAUGCAAUCUACCUUUUACAGAGGGAUAGCCCAGAGAAAUUUGGAUUAAUACCUCAUAGUAUAAUGACUCGGCAUCGAGAUAUUAUUAAAGUCACAACGGUAAAAGAUGAGCAUGCGUCCCAUUAGCUAGUUGGUAAGGUAACGGCUUACCAAGGCUACGAUGGGUAGGGGUCCUGAGAGGGAGAUCCCCCACACUGGUACUGAGACACGGACCAGACUCCUACGGGAGGCAGCAGUGAGGAAUAUUGGACAAUGGGCGCAAGCCUGAUCCAGCCAUGCCGCGUGCAGGAUGACGGUCCUAUGGAUUGUAAACUGCUUUUAUACGAGAAGAAACACUGCUUCGCGAAGCAGCUUGACGGUAUCGUAAGAAUAAGGAUCGGCUAACUCCGUGCCAGCAGCCGCGGUAAUACGGAGGAUCCAAGCGUUAUCCGGAAUCAUUGGGUUUAAAGGGUCCGUAGGCGGUUUAAUAAGUCAGUGGUGAAAGCCCAUCGCUCAACGGUGGAACGGCCAUUGAUACUGUUAAACUUGAAUUAUUAGGAAGUAACUAGAAUAUGUAGUGUAGCGGUGAAAUGCUUAGAGAUUACAUGGAAUACCAAUUGCGAAGGCAGGUUACUACUAAUGGAUUGACGCUGAUGGGCGAAAGCGUGGGUAGCGAACAGGAUUAGAUACCCUGGUAGUCCACGCCGUAAACGAUGGAUACUAGCUGUUGGAAGCAAUUUCAGUGGCUAAGCGAAAGUGAUAAGUAUCCCACCUGGGGAGUACGUU
Molecule: ribosomal RNA, 806 nt
Filed under: uncultured bacterium
Lineage: Bacteria
Description: bacterial SSU rRNA
Rfam family: Bacterial small subunit ribosomal RNA
Source: RNAcentral